This 333-nucleotide ribosomal RNA is filed under the name Triticum aestivum (bread wheat). RNAcentral's name for it is "partial small subunit ribosomal RNA". Lineage: Eukaryota; Viridiplantae; Streptophyta; Magnoliopsida; Poales; Poaceae. The record is from RNAcentral.
AUGAGUAUCAUCUGCUGGAACUGUUGAGGCUUGGGGUCGGACUCGACAGUUGGCGAGCUUCGCUGGCUUGUGAAGCUUUACCGCCCCUCCCUCCUCUUUCUUUCGGAGACGAAGAUGAGGGACUCUCGUGUGAGGAAUUUUAUGUGGUCUCUGGGUUUUACUAGCUGCUUUGCCAUUAGCAGCGAGGGUCUCAGUGGCAGCCUUGCUCUCUUCUGGUCGUCAUCUGCUAAUGUGGCUGUCAAAGCGGCCAACAAACGGUGUAUUGAUCUUCAUGUGAAAUUGGAGGAUGGUGCACCUUGGCGGGCGUCUUUCAUUUACGGGGAACCAAGAUGA